AGGACGAACGCUGGCGGCGUGCUUAACACAUGCAAGUGGAGCGACGAACCAGGGCUUGCCCUGGGGCAGAGCCGCGAACGGGUGAGUAACACGUGGGUUACCUGCCUUGAUGACCGGGACAACCCGAGGAAACUCGGGCUAAUACCGGAUGUGCCCGCAAGGGGAAAGGAAGCUUCGGCCUCCGCAUCAAGAUGGGCCCGCGGCCCAUUAGCUUGUUGGUGAGGUAACGGCUCACCAAGGCUUCGAUGGGUAGCUGGUCUGAGAGGACGAUCAGCCACACUGGGACUGAGACACGGCCCAGACUCCUACGGGAGGCAGCAGUGGGGAAUCUUGCGCAAUGCGCGAAAGCGUGACGCAGCAACGCCGCGUGGGGGAAGAAGGCUUUCGGGUUGUAAACCCCUUUCAGUUGGGACGAAGCGAAAGUGACGGUACCUGCAGAAGAAGCGCCGGCUAACUACGUGCCAGCAGCCGC
Molecule: ribosomal RNA, 472 nt
Filed under: uncultured bacterium
Lineage: Bacteria
Description: SSU rRNA
Rfam family: Bacterial small subunit ribosomal RNA
Source: RNAcentral